AGGUAAGCUACUAAGAGCGAAUGGUGGAUGCCUUGACUGGUAAAGGCGAUGAAGGACGUACUAGACUGCGAUAAGCUACGGGGAGCUGUCAAGAAGCUUUGAUCCGUAGAUUUCCGAAUGGGGCAACCCAAUGUAUAGAGAUAUACAUUACCUAUAUAGGAGCGAACGAGGGGAAUUGAAACAUCUUAGUACCCUCAGGAAAAGAAAUCAAUAGAGAUUGCGUCAGUAGCGGCGAGCGAAAGCGCAAGAGGGCAAACCCAGUGCUUGCACUGGGGGUUGUAGGACUGCAAUGUGCAAGAGGUGAGUUUAGCAGAACAUUCUGGAAAGUAUAGCCAUAGAGGGUGAUAGUCCCGUAUGCGAAAAACAAACCUUAGCUAGCAGUAUCCUGAGUAGGGCGGGACACGAGAAAUCCUGUCUGAAGCUGGGUCGACCACGAUCCAACCCUAAAUACUAAUACCAGAUCGAUAGUGCACAAGUACCGUGAGGGAAAGGUGAAAAGAACUGAGGUGAUCAGAGUGAAAUAGAACCUGAAACCAUUUGCUUACAAUCAUUCAGAGCCCUAUGUAGCAAUACAGGGUGAUGGACUGCCUUUUGCAUAAUGAGCCUGCGAGUUGUGGUGUCUGGCAAGGUUAAGCAAACGCGAAGCCGUAGCGAAAGCGAGUCUGAAUAGGGCGCUUAGUCAGAUGCUGCAGACCCGAAACGAAGUGAUCUAUCCAUGAGCAAGUUGAAGCUAGUGUAAGAACUAGUGGAGGACUGAACCCAUAGGCGUUGAAAAGCCCCGGGAUGACUUGUGGAUAGGGGUGAAAGGCCAAUCAAACUUCGUGAUAGCUGGUUCUCUCCGAAAUAUAUUUAGGUAUAGCGUUGUGUCGUAAUAUAAGGGGGUAGAGCACUGAAUGGGCUAGGGCAUACACCAAUGUACCAAACCCUAUCAAACUCCGAAUACCUUAUAUGUAAUCACAGCAGUCAGGCGGCGAGUGAUAAAAUCCGUCGUCAAGAGGGAAACAACCCAGACUACCAGCUAAGGUCCCUAAAUCUUACUUAAGUGGAAAACGAUGUGAAGUUACUUAAACAACCAGGAGGUUGGCUUAGAAGCAGCCAUCCUUUAAAGAAAGCGUAAUAGCUCACUGGUCUAGUGAUUUUGCGCGGAAAAUAUAACGGGGCUAAAGUAAGUACCGAAGCUGUAGACUUGCGCACAACUUAGAUUAUUUAAGUUUAGAAUAUGAGAAACUAAGUUAUAUGUUUAGUUAUAUUUUUACUGAUUUUUAUAGAGUAAAGAUAGAAAUAAAACUUAGUAAAAUCAGUAAAAAUAUUCUUAGACUAAAGUUAAGUAGUUUAAGUUGUGUGCAAGUGGUAGGAGAGCGUUC
RNAcentral lists this ribosomal RNA (1364 nucleotides) under Campylobacter coli. RNAcentral describes it as "partial 23S ribosomal RNA". It matches the Rfam family "Bacterial large subunit ribosomal RNA", at positions 1 to 1241 of the family's 2925-position model. Lineage: Bacteria; Pseudomonadati; Campylobacterota; Epsilonproteobacteria; Campylobacterales; Campylobacteraceae. The record is from RNAcentral.